UGCACGGUGGCGCAGUUGGUUAGCACUGUUGCCUUGCAGCCAAAAGGUCCUGGGUUUGAUUCCCGGCCGGGGGUCUUUCUGCAU
Non-coding RNA from Crenichthys baileyi (White River springfish), 84 nucleotides. The record is from the annotation of a GenBank genome assembly. NCBI's taxonomy places the organism in Eukaryota, Metazoa, Chordata, Actinopteri, Cyprinodontiformes, Goodeidae.